This 531-nucleotide ribosomal RNA is filed under the name Chalcides striatus. RNAcentral's name for it is "partial 16S ribosomal RNA". It matches the Rfam family "Bacterial large subunit ribosomal RNA", at positions 1817 to 2593 of the family's 2925-position model. Lineage: Eukaryota; Metazoa; Chordata; Lepidosauria; Squamata; Scincidae. The record is from RNAcentral.
AGCCUUUAGCCCAACAAGUAUUAAAGGUCCCGCCUGCCCAGUGAAAUAUUUAAACGGCCGCGGUAUUCUAACCGUGCAAAGGUAGCGUAAUCACUUGUCUUCUAAAUAAAGACUAGUAUGAACGGCUAAAUGAGGACAAACCUGUCUCUUAUAACUAAUCAGUGAAACUGAUCUCCCAGUCCAAAAGCUGGGAUACCUACAUAAGACGAGAAGACCCUGUGGAGCUUUAAACUUAACCACUAACCAACGUAUACGCCCACCGUUAAUAGUGUACAGUUUUAAGUUGGGGCGACUUCGGAACAAAAUUAAACUUCCAAGCACGGGACCACAAAUCCCAACCGAGGCCUACAAGCCAAAGUCUAUAAUAGCCGACCCAGUAAUACUGAGCAACGAACCAAGUUACCCCAGGGAUAACAGCGCCAUCUUCUUCAAGAGUCCAUAUCGACAAGAAGGUUUACGACCUCGAUGUUGGAUCAGGACACCCAAAUGGUGCAGCCGCUAUUAAAGGUUCGUUUGUUCAACGAUUAACAG